This 274-nucleotide ribosomal RNA is filed under the name uncultured prokaryote. RNAcentral's name for it is "partial 16S ribosomal RNA". It matches the Rfam family "Bacterial small subunit ribosomal RNA", at positions 524 to 798 of the family's 1533-position model. The record is from RNAcentral.
UACGUAGGUGGCAAGCGUUGUCCGGAAUUACUGGGCGUAAAGGGUGCGUAGGCGGUCUUUCAAGCCAGAAGUGAAAGGCUACGGCUCGACCGUAGUAAGCUUUUGGAACUGUAAGACUUGAGUGCAGGAGAGGAGAGUGGAAUUCCUAGUGUAGCGGUGAAAUGCGUAGAUAUUAGGAGGAACACCAGUAGCGAAGGCGGCUCUCUGGACUGUAACUGACGCUGAGGCACGAAGGCGUGGGGAGCAAACAGGAUUAGAUACCCGCGUAGUCCCU